UAGAUCGCCUGCGUAUCCUUCAACUCUGCGUUCAGAACAUUUCUUUUAGACUGUCCCACAGCGCGAAUCAAACCCAGUGACCCAUAUUACAAAAGGACAGAGGCAAAGGACACAAGUGGUCGAGUUUUCCAUUUGAACCUCCUUGGAGAAUAUUUGACAAGAGUUGAAGGGGAAAGAGGAUUGUGUGAGUGAUCAGAAAAUGAGGACGUGCGUACAUCACUUGUUUCCCUGAGCUCUGAGGGGACGGGGAGAAAUGUCUAACACAAACUUCCAAGAAGACUCUUUGUUUCCCGUGAACUGGAAAGUCUUGAGCCGGGUUGAUAUAGCCCGCUGCAAUGAUCAGAGCCGAGUGGAGUCUGUACACUGUCAGCUGUCUGGCUGCAACUCUCUGCAGGCUUCCGAAACUGAGCAAAUACCACCGUAAAACACACAGCGAGUUACUUACGGGGACGCGAGCGCUGUAAAUUCGAGGCACACAUAAACAGACAAGAGGGGAAGUCUAACAGCAAAACGCAACCGCGGUUUAAAAGGAAUAACUCGCUUGAGCGAAUCGUUGCAAUGGAGAAUUUGCUGAGACGUUUCUCAAGGGCAUCGUGGAGAUUUAUUUUUCAAUCUCAACAUGAACACACGAGCAAGACAGAUCAAGCUAAUUUCCUCCCAGCCCCUCUCGCUCCCCGCUCCUCUUUGUUUGGUGGGGAGAAUAGGCAACACCACCGGCGGCGGCGGUACACUCAGCGUCGGCCGAAAUAAAAUGGUGAAUUUUAGUUUUCCAACUGGGAGCUGAAGAGGCGGUUUGAGCGCGGAAGUGGUUUCCUCGGGAGUGCAGUUAAUGGGGAUUCGUCUCAGCAAAAGCUAGGUGUCAUUCGGCCUAGACAGCCCAGGGACCAGUUGGCUGAUUCUGACUGAAAACCGGUUUGGCGGGCAGAAGGACAGGACUGAAUGUUUUGUCUACAAAUAUAAAAGAACAGCAAGUAUGGACCCAAAGGUUUUGUGCGAAUUGCGUGCUGAUAGUUUGCUCUGGACUGUGGAAAGUGAUGGAAGGUUGCAGCUUUGUGUUUAGCGAAUCCCACGCAAAAUCACAAAUGAGCGAUUUUGCAAUGAAGAUCUUGUUAUAGAAAGCAGCAACCAGGGAGGGAGCAACAGCGGACACCACGACUGACUGUGAUACAAUGGCGGUAGAUUAAUCUGUGUACUUAUGCAUUCUCAGAUGUCACCCCUCUCCCCACAACAUAAAUAAAAAGUGAAUCAACAUUGA
Hemiscyllium ocellatum (epaulette shark) is the source of this 1255-nucleotide long non-coding RNA. RefSeq lists it as uncharacterized. The record is from RefSeq and is a predicted model, not a curated record. The transcript has 5 exons. Lineage: Eukaryota; Metazoa; Chordata; Chondrichthyes; Orectolobiformes; Hemiscylliidae.